AGUAUUUUUGCCACUCAAUCUUGGAGAUAAGGAAUAUUUGUGGUGAUGAGGUGGCAUGCCAAGGCUGAUGGGAUCUGGAAGGAUGAGGUUAUCCCAAUUAUGAGCUUCUGUGGUGGACUGUUUAUCUCAAUUGAUCCUUCAUAAUACCUGGGAGAAGUUGGAGAGCAGAAGGUGACAUGCAUACUGUGUUCAGGAAUCUGACAGGAUGUCUUCAAUGGCUGGGCUCUAUAGAUGGACCUCACUUUCCUUCAGUUUCCUCAUCUGAAAAAUGAGGAGGUUGGAUCAGAUGGCCUCUGAGGUCCCUUCCAAGUCUAAUUCUAUGCUCUUAUGCCUGAGGCUGUCUAGAUAGAGAGAACUGAGGUUAUUGUGGAAUCCUCUCAUCCAGGGCUGAUUAGAUUUGUUCCAUUGGAGUCUCCAAAUUGAGUGGAUUACAUAGCAGGGUGGGGGUGCCCAGAUGUCUUCACUUUAACUGCUAUCUCACAUUACCUCCCUCACUGGAUCUGUCUGUGGCAAAUGCAUUUGUUUUAUGAUUUUCCUAAAUAUGAAUAAUACUGUUCACAACAUUAAAACAAAUUUGGUCAGAUAAAUAUGAAGUUACAAUUUUGAAAGGUUCUUGGCUCAGUUAAAUAGCAAAGGAUCCAAGGAUUCCCAAAGGAUUUUUAAAAGU
This 667-nucleotide long non-coding RNA is filed under the name Monodelphis domestica (gray short-tailed opossum). Its description in RNAcentral is "lncRNA (ENSMODG00000035635.2)". The record is from RNAcentral. Lineage: Eukaryota; Metazoa; Chordata; Mammalia; Didelphimorphia; Didelphidae.